Molecule: ribosomal RNA, 468 nt
Filed under: uncultured bacterium
Lineage: Bacteria
Description: partial 16S ribosomal RNA
Rfam family: Bacterial small subunit ribosomal RNA
Source: RNAcentral
GACGAACGCUGGCGGCGUGCUUAACACAUGCAAGUCGAACGGAAAGGCCCUGCUUUUGUGGGGUGCUCGAGUGGCGAACGGGUGAGUAACACGUGAGUAACCUGCCCUUGACUUUGGGAUAACUUCAGGAAACUGGGGCUAAUACCGGAUAGGAGCUCCUGCUGCAUGGUGGGGGUUGGAAAGUUUCGGCGGUUGGGGAUGGACUCGCGGCUUAUCAGCUUGUUGGUGGGGUAGUGGCUUACCAAGGCUUUGACGGGUAGCCGGCCUGAGAGGGUGACCGGCCACAUUGGGACUGCGAUACGGCCCAGACUCCUACGUGAGGCAGCAGUGGGGAAUAUUGCACAAUGGGCGGAAGCCUGAUGCAGCAACGCCGCGUGCGGGAUGACGGCCUUCGGGUUGUAAACCGCUUUCGCCUGUGACGAAGCGUGAGUGACGGUAAUGGGUAAAGAAGCACCGGCUAACUACGUG